GCCUCGGUGGUGUAGUGGUCAAGGCGCUCGCCUGGUAAUCAAGAGGGUGUGGGUUAAAUCCCAACCAAGGUA
Molecule: transfer RNA, 72 nt
Filed under: Diaphorina citri (Asian citrus psyllid)
Lineage: Eukaryota; Metazoa; Arthropoda; Insecta; Hemiptera; Psyllidae
Rfam family: tRNA
About the family: Transfer RNA (tRNA) molecules are approximately 80 nucleotides in length.
Source: Rfam by way of RNAcentral